This is a ribosomal RNA of Mesocricetus auratus (golden hamster), 129 nucleotides long. The record is from Ensembl. NCBI's taxonomy places the organism in Eukaryota, Metazoa, Chordata, Mammalia, Rodentia, Cricetidae.
GGCCAUACCACCCUGAACGCGCCCGAUCUUGUCUGACCUCGGAAGCUAAGCAGGGUCGGGCCUGGUUAGUACUUGGAUGGGAGACAAGCACCUCCCAGGCUCCUCUCGGGGCAGCAGGAAAAGAGACCU